AGGACGAACGCUGGCGGCGUGCUUAACACAUGCAAGUCGAACGGAAAGGCCCUUCGGGGUACUCGAGUGGCGAACGGGUGAGUAACACGUGGGUGAUCUGCCCUGCACUUUGGGAUAAGCCUGGGAAACUGGGUCUAAUACCGAAUAUGAUCAUGCACCUCAUGGUGUGUGGUGGAAAGCUUUUGCGGUGUGGGAUGGGCCCGCGGCCUAUCAGCUUGUUGGUGGGGUAAUGGCCUACCAAGGCGACGACGGGUAGCCGGCCUGAGAGGGUGUCCGGCCACACUGGGACUGAGAUACGGCCCAGACUCCUACGGGAGGCAGCAGUGGGGAAUAUUGCACAAUGGGCGCAAGCCUGAUGCAGCGACGCCGCGUGGGGGAUGACGGCCUUCGGGUUGUAACCCCUUUCAGUGCCGACGAAGCGCGAGUGACGGUAGGCACAGAAGAAGCACCGGCCAACUACGUGCCAGCAGCCGC
This 474-nucleotide ribosomal RNA is filed under the name uncultured bacterium. RNAcentral describes it as "SSU rRNA". It matches the Rfam family "Bacterial small subunit ribosomal RNA", at positions 26 to 518 of the family's 1533-position model. The record is from RNAcentral.